RNAcentral lists this non-coding RNA (28 nucleotides) under Cricetulus griseus (Chinese hamster). Lineage: Eukaryota; Metazoa; Chordata; Mammalia; Rodentia; Cricetidae. The record is from RNAcentral.
UGAACUUUUGAUUCUUUUCCCUUCCCAG